ACUGCUGAGCCAUCUCUCCAGCCCCCAUAAUAAGUCUUUUAAAUGUAAAAUUCAUUAUAGGAGUUGGGGAGAUGGCUCAGUAGA
Molecule: non-coding RNA, 84 nt
Organism: Mus musculus (house mouse)
Lineage: Eukaryota; Metazoa; Chordata; Mammalia; Rodentia; Muridae
Source: Rfam